AAGGUAAGUCAAGUCAGAGCAGAAAGUCUUCAAUUCAUAGUCAUGGCAUUAAAUGUUUUUUAGUAUUUUCGGUUCGGUUUUCUAACACAAAUAUCUAAACAUCCUCAAAUCGACAGAUUUACAUGAGAUGCAAAAUGAAGAAAUUAAGUGUCUUUCUGAGAAAUGUAACAAAAUGAAAUGAUGGCUUUGAUUUGACUCUCUUGACAGAUUUUUGUACUUUUUUUAAUCGUAAACUCACUUCAUUUGGUUCAGUUUCCCAGAAAACAAGACUUAUGUCACUUUGUUUAUUAAAUGAAUAUAACUUAUUGUAAAAAUCUUUAGACACUUUUACUGGAAAACACUGAGGAAGAUCAUCAUUUUUUUGCCGUAUGAUCAGACAUAAAAGUUAUUUCCGUAUUUUGUUGUGGUUGGGAGUAGAGCUAUUUUUUUGUAAAAUGAUUAAAAAAGUAAUACAGAUUGGUUGCAACUCAUUGUGUUCCUUAAAAUAUCUUUACCUGAUCUUAAAAAGGUCUUAAAGUCUUACACUUAUUUUCACAAAACCUGCAGAAACCCCGUAAUUCAAAAUGAUUUGAAGAACUGAAUUAAAAUCCUUAUCCAAAAAUCCCCCGUGUUCCAAACGCACGAGGAGAGACCGAAAGAGCGCGUAGCAAAAGCACUGCAGGAUUUUGAUUUGGCUUUGAGAGGAAAGAAAAAAACGUGCUCAGUUCCUCAAACAGGGCAAGAAGAAAGAGUUAACGGUACAGAAGAAAGUGAAGCUGUGCCUGAUGUAUAAGAAGCACAACUUCAGCGUAACAUCAGCAUCUUUAUCAUUUUAUUAGCAUCCUCCCCUUCAAUCCCUUCCCCAACGUAAAACCUACAAAUGAAAACCCGUGCUUCUGUUUGUCCGUGCGUUUGUCAUGGUAGAGCAGAGCAAAUACGAACCAACAGCUAAUGAGCAUCAGAAAUAAGAUGGAUUUCCCUUGAUUAAAGCCAAAAGAUUCCUGCAGAACGAGAGGAAGCUUCUGUUAGAGAUCAGCCAGCCGUCUGAAGGGCGCUCAGAGAUGUUAGAGAGCCCACAAUAUCACAAGACUUUACAGCCCACAUCAAACAAUGAAUCCGCAUCCGUGACAGGAAACUCAUUUAUCAGCCAACCUUCAAGAUAAUGUAGAGAGAAGCCUUCUGGUACCAUAAGAAAUCAGUGAAGCUCUCACAGUAUUCUGCACAGUAAAGAUGCAUAAUAUGAUAAAAUAUUUUU
Cyprinus carpio carpio is the source of this 1234-nucleotide long non-coding RNA. NCBI's taxonomy places the organism in Eukaryota, Metazoa, Chordata, Actinopteri, Cypriniformes, Cyprinidae. The record is from Ensembl.